AGCGUACACGGUGGAUGCCCUGGCAGUCAGAGGCGAUGAAGGACGUGCUAAUCUGCGAUAAGCGUCGGUAAGGUGAUAUGAACCGUUAUAACCGGCGAUUUCCGAAUGGGGAAACCCAGUGUGUUUCGACACACUAUCAUUAACUGAAUCCAUAGGUUAAUGAGGCGAACCGGGGGAACUGAAACAUCUAAGUACCCCGAGGAAAAGAAAUCAACCGAGAUUCCCCCAGUAGCGGCGAGCGAACGGGGAGCAGCCCAGAGCCUGAAUCAGUGUGUGUGUUAGUGGAAGCGUCUGGAAAGGCGCGCGAUACAGGGUGACAGCCCCGUACACAAAAAUGCACAUGCUGUGAGCUCGAUGAGUAGGGCGGGACACGUGGUAUCCUGUCUGAAUAUGGGGGGACCAUCCUCCAAGGCUAAAUACUCCUGACUGACCGAUAGUGAACCAGUACCGUGAGGGAAAGGCGAAAAGAACCCCGGCGAGGGGAGUGAAAAAGAACCUGAAACCGUGUACGUACAAGCAGUGGGAGCACGCUUAGGCGUGUGACUGCGUACCUUUUGUAUAAUGGGUCAGCGACUUAUAUUCUGUAGCAAGGUUAACCGAAUAGGGGAGCCGAAGGGAAACCGAGUCUUAACUGGGCGUUAAGUUGCAGGGUAUAGACCCGAAACCCGGUGAUCUAGCCAUGGGCAGGUUGAAGGUUGGGUAACACUAACUGGAGGACCGAACCGACUAAUGUUGAAAAAUUAGCGGAUGACUUGUGGCUGGGGGUGAAAGGCCAAUCAAACCGGGAGAUAGCUGGUUCUCCCCGAAAGCUAUUUAGGUAGCGCCUCGUGAAUUCAUCUCCGGGGGUAGAGCACUGUUUCGGCAAGGGGGUCAUCCCGACUUACCAACCCGAUGCAAACUGCGAAUACCGGAGAAUGUUAUCACGGGAGACACACGGCGGGUGCUAACGUCCGUCGUGAAGAGGGAAACAACCCAGACCGCCAGCUAAGGUCCCAAAGUCAUGGUUAAGUGGGAAACGAUGUGGGAAGGCCCAGACAGCCAGGAUGUUGGCUUAGAAGCAGCCAUCAUUUAAAGAAAGCGUAAUAGCUCACUGGUCGAGUCGGCCUGCGCGGAAGAUGUAACGGGGCUAAACCAUGCACCGAAGCUGCGGCAGCGACGCUGAUGCGUUGUUGGGUAGGGGAGCGUUCUGUAAGCCUGUGAAGGUGUGCUGUGAGGCAUGCUGGAGGUAUCAGAAGUGCGAAUGCUGACAUAAGUAACGAUAAAGCGGGUGAAAAGCCCGCUCGCCGGAAGACCAAGGGUUCCUGUCCAACGUUAAUCGGGGCAGGGUGAGUCGACCCCUAAGGCGAGGCCGAAAGGCGUAGUCGAUGGGAAACAGGUUAAUAUUCCUGUACUUGGUGUUACUGCGAAGGGGGGACGGAGAAGGCUAUGUUGGCCGGGCGACGGUUGUCCCGGUUUAAGCGUGUAGGCUGGUUUUCCAGGCAAAUCCGGAAAAUCAAGGCUGAGGCGUGAUGACGAGGCACUACGGUGCUGAAGCAACAAAUGCCCUGCUUCCAGGAAAAGCCUCUAAGCAUCAGGUAACAUCAAAUCGUACCCCAAACCGACACAGGUGGUCAGGUAGAGAAUACCAAGGCGCUUGAGAGAACUCGGGUGAAGGAACUAGGCAAAAUGGUGCCGUAACUUCGGGAGAAGGCACGCUGAUAUGUAGGUGAAGUCCCUCGCGGAUGGAGCUGAAAUCAGUCGAAGAUACCAGCUGGCUGCAACUGUUUAUUAAAAACACAGCACUGUGCAAACACGAAAGUGGACGUAUACGGUGUGACGCCUGCCCGGUGCCGGAAGGUUAAUUGAUGGGGUUAGCGCAAGCGAAGCUCUUGAUCGAAGCCCCGGUAAACGGCGGCCGUAACUAUAACGGUCCUAAGGUAGCGAAAUUCCUUGUCGGGUAAGUUCCGACCUGCACGAAUGGCGUAAUGAUGGCCAGGCUGUCUCCACCCGAGACUCAGUGAAAUUGAACUCGCUGUGAAGAUGCAGUGUACCCGCGGCAAGACGGAAAGACCCCGUGAACCUUUACUAUAGCUUGACACUGAACAUUGAGCCUUGAUGUGUAGGAUAGGUGGGAGGCUUUGAAGUGUGGACGCCAGUCUGCAUGGAGCCGACCUUGAAAUACCACCCUUUAAUGUUUGAUGUUCUAACGUUGACCCGUAAUCCGGGUUGCGGACAGUGUCUGGUGGGUAGUUUGACUGGGGCGGUCUCCUCCUAAAGAGUAACGGAGGAGCACGAAGGUUGGCUAAUCCUGGUCGGACAUCAGGAGGUUAGUGCAAUGGCAUAAGCCAGCUUGACUGCGAGCGUGACGGCGCGAGCAGGUGCGAAAGCAGGUCAUAGUGAUCCGGUGGUUCUGAAUGGAAGGGCCAUCGCUCAACGGAUAAAAGGUACUCCGGGGAUAACAGGCUGAUACCGCCCAAGAGUUCAUAUCGACGGCGGUGUUUGGCACCUCGAUGUCGGCUCAUCACAUCCUGGGGCUGAAGUAGGUCCCAAGGGUAUGGCUGUUCGCCAUUUAAAGUGGUACGCGAGCUGGGUUUAGAACGUCGUGAGACAGUUCGGUCCCUAUCUGCCGUGGGCGCUGGAGAACUGAGGGGGGCUGCUCCUAGUACGAGAGGACCGGAGUGGACGCAUCACUGGUGUUCGGGUUGUCAUGCCAAUGGCACUGCCCGGUAGCUAAAUGCGGAAGAGAUAAGUGCUGAAAGCAUCUAAGCACGAAACUUGCCCCGAGAUGAGUUCUCCCUGACUCCUUGA
RNAcentral lists this ribosomal RNA (2787 nucleotides) under Escherichia coli. RNAcentral's name for it is "bacterial LSU rRNA". It matches the Rfam family "Bacterial large subunit ribosomal RNA". Lineage: Bacteria; Pseudomonadati; Pseudomonadota; Gammaproteobacteria; Enterobacterales; Enterobacteriaceae. The record is from RNAcentral.